GACGAACGCUGGCGGCGUGCUUAACACAUGCAAGUCGAACGGAAAGGCGCUGCUUUUGUGGGGCGCUCGAGUGGCGAACGGGUGAGUAACACGUGAGUAACCUGCCCUUGACUUUGGGAUAACUUCAGGAAACUUGGGCUAAUAUCGGAUAGGAGCUCCUGCUGCGUGGGGGGGGAUGGAAAGCUUCGGCGGUGGGGGCUGGUCUCGCGGCUUAUGAGCUUGUUGGGUGGGUAGUGGCGUACCAAGGCUUUGACGGGUAGCCGGCACGGGAGGGUGGCCAGCCCCCAUGCUCCUGAGGUAGGCCCCAGUCGGCAAUGUUGGGCAACGGGCGGAAGCCUUACCCAGUGGGGCGGAGUCUGAUACGACGGCCCCGCGUUCGUGAACACGGCCUUCGGGUUAUGAACCGCUUUCGCCUGAGACGAGGCGUUCGUGACGGUACCGGAUAAAUAAGCACCGGCUAACUACGUG
RNAcentral lists this ribosomal RNA (468 nucleotides) under uncultured bacterium. RNAcentral's name for it is "partial 16S ribosomal RNA". It matches the Rfam family "Bacterial small subunit ribosomal RNA", at positions 28 to 507 of the family's 1533-position model. The record is from RNAcentral.